ACUCCUACGGGAGGCAGCAGUGGGGAAUUUUGCGCAAUGGGCGAAAGCCUGACGCAGCAACGCCGCGUGAGUGAUGAAGGCUUUCGGGUCGUAAAGCUCUGUCAGGGGGAAAGAAGUGUAUUGCGGCUAAUAUCCGCGAUACUUGACGGUACCCCCAAAGGAAGCACCGGCUAACUCCGUGCCAGCAGCCGCGGUAAUACGGAGGGUGCAAGCGUUGUUCGGAAUUAUUGGGCGUAAAGCGCGUGUAGGCGGUUUGCUAAGUCUGAUGUGAAAGCCCCGGGCUCAACCCGGGAAGUGCAUUGGAAACUGGCAGACUUGAAUACGGGAGAGGGUAGUGGAAUUCCUAGUGUAGGAGUGAAAUCCGUAGAUAUUAGGAGGAACACCGGUGGCGAAGGCGGCUGCCUGGACCGAUAUUGACGCUGAGACGCGAAAGCGUGGGUAGCAAACAGGAUUAGAUACCCUGGUAGUCCACGCCGUAAACGAUGAGAACUAGGUGUUGCGGGUA
RNAcentral lists this ribosomal RNA (505 nucleotides) under uncultured Geobacter sp. RNAcentral's name for it is "bacterial SSU rRNA". It matches the Rfam family "Bacterial small subunit ribosomal RNA", at positions 335 to 831 of the family's 1533-position model. The record is from RNAcentral. Lineage: Bacteria; Pseudomonadati; Thermodesulfobacteriota; Desulfuromonadia; Geobacterales; Geobacteraceae.